UAAGACGAACCGUGCGAACGUUAUUCGGAAUCACUGGGCUUAAAGCGCGUGCAGGCGGGCCGGCACGUCGGUCGCUGAAAUCCCCCGGCUCAACCGGGGAACGGGCGCCGAUACGACCGGCCUGGAGGGGGGUAGGGGGAGCCGGAACUCACGGUGGAGCGGUGAAAUGCGUUGAGAUCGUGAGGAACGCCCGUGGCGAAAGCGGGCUCCUGGACCUUGCCUGACGCUGAGACGCGAAAGCCAGGGGAGCGAACGGGAUUAGAUACCCCGGUAGUCCUGGCCGUAAACCAUGGGCACUGGGUAGGGGAUUCGCCGAUGGAUUCCCUGCCGCAGCGAAAGCGUGAAGUGCCCCGCCUGGGGAGUAUGGUCGCAAGGCUG
Molecule: ribosomal RNA, 378 nt
Filed under: uncultured bacterium
Lineage: Bacteria
Description: bacterial SSU rRNA
Rfam family: Bacterial small subunit ribosomal RNA
Source: RNAcentral